This is a non-coding RNA of Angiostrongylus costaricensis, 72 nucleotides long. Lineage: Eukaryota; Metazoa; Nematoda; Chromadorea; Rhabditida; Metastrongylidae. The record is from Rfam.
GACCGCUUGGUGCAAUGGUAGCGCGUUUGACACCAGAUCUAAAGGUUGGGCGUUCGAUCCGCUCAGUGGUUA